This 253-nucleotide ribosomal RNA is filed under the name uncultured bacterium. RNAcentral describes it as "partial 16S ribosomal RNA". It matches the Rfam family "Bacterial small subunit ribosomal RNA", at positions 524 to 776 of the family's 1533-position model. The record is from RNAcentral.
UACGGAGGGGGCUAGCGUUGUUCGGAAUUACUGGGCGUAAAGCGUACGUAGGCGGCUUUGUAAGUUAGAGGUGAAAGCCCGGGGCUCAACUCCGGAAUUGCCUUUAAGACUGCAUCGCUUGAAUCAUAGAGAGGUGAGUGGAAUUCCGAGUGUAGAGGUGAAAUUCGUAGAUAUUCGGAAGAACACCAGUGGCGAAGGCGACUCACUGGUCCGGUACUGACGCUGAGGUGCGAAAGCGUGGGGAGCAAACAGG